CCUGCUUCUUCGUGCAGCACCUCCCGGCCAGCAAUGCUGACAAGGUCCCCAACAUCUCCGCGGAGCUACUGUGAGUCGCCGGAACCCUAACUCGCCGCCGAUUAUAACCCCCCCACCCCUUCUCCUCACCACCCCGCUUCCUCCCGCCGGUCGCAGCGAGACCAUCAAGGAGUACGAGCAGGAGGCAGCGAAGCUGGCGGAGAGGCUGCUGGACCUCAUCUGCGAGAACCUCGCCCUGGAGGAGGGCUACAUCAAGAAGGCCUUCUCCGGCGCCAGCGGGCCAUUCAUGGGCACCAAGUUCGCCAAGUACCCGUCCUGCCCCAAGCCGGACCUGAUCACCGGCCUCCGCACCCACACCGACGCCGGCGGCAUCAUCCUCGUCCUCCAGGACGACGUCCCCGGCCUGCAGUUCCUCAAAGGCGGCGACUGGGUCGACGUCGUCCCCGUUCCAGGCGGCAUCUUCAUCAACACCGGCGACCAGCUCGAGGUACGCACCCUCCUUCCUCCUCCUCUGUUCUUCACCCUUCCUUCUGCCUCCUCCUCUUGGAGGGGGGGCUCGCCGGAGCUGACAGGAAGCCCCUCCGCC
This 586-nucleotide long non-coding RNA is filed under the name Spirodela polyrhiza (greater duckweed). RNAcentral's name for it is "long non-coding RNA (SPOL_LNC001532)". Lineage: Eukaryota; Viridiplantae; Streptophyta; Magnoliopsida; Alismatales; Araceae. The record is from RNAcentral.